GCAUUAAUGGGGUAGUGGUAACCUGGGUCGUUGCCAUUGAGCCAAGCUCGACCCGCCGGGGGUUCGAUUCCCUCUUAAUGCA
RNAcentral lists this transfer RNA (82 nucleotides) under Sphagnurus paluster. Its description in RNAcentral is "Tephrocybe palustris tRNA". It matches the Rfam family "tRNA". From Rfam's summary of the family: Transfer RNA (tRNA) molecules are approximately 80 nucleotides in length. Their secondary structure includes four short double-helical elements and three loops (D, anti-codon, and T loops). Further hydrogen bonds mediate the characteristic L-shaped molecular structure. tRNAs have two regions of fundamental functional importance: the anti-codon, which is responsible for specific mRNA codon recognition, and the 3' end, to which the tRNAs corresponding amino acid is attached (by aminoacyl-tRNA synthetases). tRNAs cope with the degeneracy of the genetic code in two manners: having more than one tRNA (with a specific anti-codon) for a particular amino acid; and 'wobble' base-pairing, i.e. permitting non-standard base-pairing at the 3rd anti-codon position. The record is from Rfam by way of RNAcentral. Lineage: Eukaryota; Fungi; Basidiomycota; Agaricomycetes; Agaricales; Lyophyllaceae.